UACGGAGGGUGCAAGCGUUAUCCGGAUUCACUGGGUUUAAAGGGUGCGUAGGUGGGCAGGUAAGUCAGUGGUGAAAUCUCCGGGCUUAACUCGGAAACUGCCAUUGAUACUAUCUUUCUUGAAUACCGUGGAGGUCAGCGGAAUAUGUCAUGUAGCGGUGAAAUGCUUAGAUAUGACAUAGAACACCAAGUGCGAAGGCAGCUGGCUACACGAAUAUGGACACUGAUGCACGAAAGCGUGGGGAGCAAACAGG
RNAcentral lists this ribosomal RNA (253 nucleotides) under uncultured bacterium. RNAcentral's name for it is "partial 16S ribosomal RNA". It matches the Rfam family "Bacterial small subunit ribosomal RNA", at positions 524 to 776 of the family's 1533-position model. The record is from RNAcentral.